GAUGAACGCUGGCGGCGUGCUUAACACAUGCAAGUCGAACGGAAAGGCCCUACUUUUGUGGGGUGCUCGAGUGGCGAACGGGUGAGUAACACGUGAGUAACCUGCCCUUGACUUUGGGAUAACUUCAGGAAACUGGGGCUAAUACCGGAUAGGAGCUCCUGCUGCAUUGUGGGGGGUGGAAAGUUUCGGCGGGUGGGGAUGGACUCGCCGCUUAUCUGCUUGUUGGUGGGGUGGUGGGCUACCAAGGCGUUGGCGGGUAGCCGGCCUGGGGGGGAGGACCGGCACCAUUGGGCCUAGGUUAGGGCCCAGCUUCCAAGGGGGGCCAGAGGGGGGAAUAUUGCCCCAAUGGGCCGAGCCCGGUUCAGCCACCGCGCGGGGCGGAUUGCCGGCUUUCGGGUUGAAACCCGCUUCCGCCUGUGCCGAAGCGUUUGUGACGGUACUGGGUGAAGAAGCACCGGCUAACUACGUG
This 469-nucleotide ribosomal RNA is filed under the name uncultured bacterium. RNAcentral describes it as "partial 16S ribosomal RNA". It matches the Rfam family "Bacterial small subunit ribosomal RNA", at positions 28 to 507 of the family's 1533-position model. The record is from RNAcentral.